ACGGGUGAGUAACGCGUGGGAAUCUACCCAUCUCUACGGAAUAACUCAGGGAAACUUGUGCUAAUACCGUAUACGCCCUUCGGGGGAAAGAUUUAUCGGAGAUGGAUGAGCCCGCGUUGGAUUAGCUAGUUGGUGGGGUAAAGGCCUACCAAGGCGACGAUCCAUAGCUGGUCUGAGAGGAUGAUCAGCCACAUUGGGACUGAGACACGGCCCAAACUCCUACGGGAGGCAGCAGUGGGGAAUAUUGGACAAUGGGCGCAAGCCUGAUCCAGCCAUGCCGCGUGAGUGAUGAAGGCCCUAGGGUUGUAAAGCUCUUUCACCGAUGAAGAUAAUGACUGUAGUCGGAGAAGAACCCCGGCUAACUUCGUGCCAGCAGCCGCGGUAAUACGAAGGGGGCUAGCGUUGUUCGGAAUUCUGGGCGUAAAGGCACGUAGGCGGGUAUUAAGUCAGGGUGAAUCCAGACUCACUCGGAAUGCUUUGAU
RNAcentral lists this ribosomal RNA (482 nucleotides) under Rhizobium giardinii. RNAcentral describes it as "bacterial SSU rRNA". It matches the Rfam family "Bacterial small subunit ribosomal RNA", at positions 102 to 631 of the family's 1533-position model. The record is from RNAcentral. Lineage: Bacteria; Pseudomonadati; Pseudomonadota; Alphaproteobacteria; Hyphomicrobiales; Rhizobiaceae.